RNAcentral lists this ribosomal RNA (1149 nucleotides) under Salmonella enterica. Its description in RNAcentral is "partial 23S ribosomal RNA". It matches the Rfam family "Bacterial large subunit ribosomal RNA", at positions 1 to 1190 of the family's 2925-position model. RNAcentral also lists the same sequence under 1 other name. The record is from RNAcentral. Lineage: Bacteria; Pseudomonadati; Pseudomonadota; Gammaproteobacteria; Enterobacterales; Enterobacteriaceae.
GUUAAGCGACUAAGCGUACACGGUGGAUGCCCUGGCAGUCAGAGGCGAUGAAGGGCGUGCUAAUCUGCGAUAAGCGCCGGUAAGGUGAUAUGAACCGUUAUAACCGGCGAUACCCGAAUGGGGAAACCCAGUGUGACUCGUCACACUAUCAUUAACUGAAUCCAUAGGUUAAUGAGGCGAACCGGGGGAACUGAAACAUCUAAGUACCCCGAGGAAAAGAAAUCAACCGAGAUUCCCCCAGUAGCGGCGAGCGAACGGGGAGGAGCCCAGAGCCUGAAUCAGCAUGUGUGUUAGUGGAAGCGUCUGGAAAGGCGCGCGAUACAGGGUGACAGCCCCGUACACAAAAGCGCAUGUGCUGUGAGCUCGAUGAGUAGGGCGGGACACGUGGUAUCCUGUCUGAAUAUGGGGGGACCAUCCUCCAAGGCUAAAUACUCCUGACUGACCGAUAGUGAACCAGUACCGUGAGGGAAAGGCGAAAAGAACCCCGGCGAGGGGAGUGAAAAAGAACCUGAAACCGUGUACGUACAAGCAGUGGGAGCACAGGUUUACCUGUGUGACUGCGUACCUUUUGUAUAAUGGGUCAGCGACUUAUAUUCUGUAGCAAGGUUAACCGAAUAGGGGAGCCGGAGGGAAACCGAGUCUUAAUUGGGCGUUAAGUUGCAGGGUAUAGACCCGAAACCCGGUGAUCUAGCCAUGGGCAGGUUGAAGGUUGGGUAACACUAACUGGAGGACCGAACCGACUAAUGUUGAAAAAUUAGCGGAUGACCUGUGGCUGGGGGUGAAAGGCCAAUCAAACCGGGAGAUAGCUGGUUCUCCCCGAAAGCUAUUUAGGUAGCGCCUCGUGAAUUCAUCUCCGGGGGUAGAGCACUGUUUCGGCUAGGGGGCCAUCCCGGCUUACCAACCCGAUGCAAACUGCGAAUACCGGAGAAUGUUAUCACGGGAGACACACGGCGGGUGCUAACGUCCGUCGUGAAGAGGGAAACAACCCAGACCGCCAGCUAAGGUCCCAAAGUCAUGGUUAAGUGGGAAACGAUGUGGGAAGGCCCAGACAGCCAGGAUGUUGGCUUAGAAGCAGCCAUCAUUUAAAGAAAGCGUAAUAGCUCACUGGUCGAGUCGGCCUGCGCGGAAGAUGUAACGGGGCUAAACCAU